RNAcentral lists this ribosomal RNA (651 nucleotides) under uncultured Methanomicrobiales archaeon. RNAcentral describes it as "bacterial SSU rRNA". It matches the Rfam family "Archaeal small subunit ribosomal RNA", at positions 224 to 879 of the family's 1478-position model. Lineage: Archaea; Methanobacteriati; Methanobacteriota; Methanomicrobia; Methanomicrobiales. The record is from RNAcentral.
AUUAGGUAGUUGUUGGGGUAACGGCCCAACAAGCCUUUGAUCGGUACGGGUUGUGGGAGCAAGAGCCCGGAGAUGGAUUCUGAGACACGAAUCCAGGCCCUACGGGGCGCAGCAGGCGCGAAAACUUUACAAUGCGGGAAACCGUGAUAAGGGAACUCCGAGUGUCCGUAAAUGCGGACUGUCCGUAUGUCUAAAAAGCAUGCGAAGAAAGGGCCGGGCAAGACCGGUGCCAGCCGCCGCGGUAAUACCGGCGGCUCGAGUGGUGGCCACUAUUAUUGGGCUUAAAGCGUUCGUAGCUGGAUCGUUAAGUCUCUUGGGAAAUCUACCGGCUUAACCGAUAGGCGUCCAAGGGAUACUGGCGAUCUAGGGACCGGGAGAGGUGAGGGGUACUUCAGGGGUAGGAGUGAAAUCCUGUAAUCCUUGGGGGACCACCUGUGGCGAAGGCGCCUCACCAGGACGGCUCCGACAGUGAGGGACGAAAGCUGGGGGAGCAAACCGGAUUAGAUACCCGGGUAGUCCCAGCCGUAAACGAUGUGCGUUAGGUGUAUCGGUGACCACGAGUCACCGAGGUGCCGAAGAGAAAUCGUGAAACGUACCGCCUGGGAAGUACGGUCGCAAGGCUGAAACUUAAAGGAAUUGGCGGGGGAGCAC